RNAcentral lists this ribosomal RNA (883 nucleotides) under Planosiphon filiformis. RNAcentral's name for it is "eukaryotic LSU rRNA". The stretch from base 418 to 572 matches the Rfam family "5.8S ribosomal RNA". The record is from RNAcentral. Lineage: Eukaryota; Phaeophyceae; Ectocarpales; Scytosiphonaceae.
UUUCCGUAGGUGAACCUGCGGAAGGAUCAUUACCGAAGGUCCGGGAAGUGGACCAUAAACAAGCCGUGCGGAUUUAGUCUGCUCAUCUACUUUGUCGUAGGUGUUCUAGCCAUCUCUUUCUCUCUUGUCGCACAGGGAUCCCGCCGCCAACCCUUUUACCGGCGUCGGGCUCCUCGAUGGAUACUUUCGCCGCCGUGUUCUUUCUACCAACCGGUAGUCGGCUCGGAGGCGAAUGUAUUCAAGACACAGAACCCCGCGAAACCACAAUCGUUAUGCGAUGUCGGGCGAGAGGCGUCUCGCCGAGCUCUUCGUGAGCUCGAAACAAAGCGCUACCCACAAACCACACCAAACUCUGAAUCUGAACUCAAAAGGAGGCGCCGCCACCGCGCGGAGCCUCCUCAACCUUUAACGUUGUAAAACUUUCAGCGACGGAUGUCUUGGCUCCCACAACGAUGAAGAACGCAGCGAAAUGCGAUACGUCUUGCGACUUGCAGAAUCCAGUGAAUCAUCAAAACUUUGAACGCAUCUUGCGCUUCCGGGAUAUGCCUGGGAGCAUGCUUGUCGGAGUGUCUGUUGACACAUCUCGCCCCCCCCGCUUCUCUUCUUUCCUCGCGGAAGGAAAAGAGGCGAGAGGGCGGACUCUGCGUGUUCCGGAGCGCGAGCUCCGAGUGCACCGAACCUCGUGAACGCGAGACCUCUACUGCUGAUUGCACAGAGUUGUUGACGGCGUGCCUGCUUCGGCGGCGCGACUCUCUACUCGCCACGUGCUUUUGGUCUAGGAUUGGUCGUAGUUCCGGCAGCUGUGCCUCCCUUCCGGGGAAAGCACACUACCCCAACUUUCGUUCGGACCUCCGAUCAAGCAAGAGGACCCGCUGAAUUUAAG